Molecule: ribosomal RNA, 441 nt
Filed under: Triticum aestivum (bread wheat)
Lineage: Eukaryota; Viridiplantae; Streptophyta; Magnoliopsida; Poales; Poaceae
Description: partial small subunit ribosomal RNA
Source: RNAcentral
AUGUGCUUUCAUUUUGUGCCAAACAUGGAGUUCAAACACCACAUUUCAGUGAGUUAUAUGUGGAUUUCAUUAAUUCUCGUGCGGAGGAUGAGACUAAAGUUGAGCACCAUUAUCGUUGUGACAUUUUCAUGGUUGCUCUUGAUGUUGGGGAAUGCAGUAGCAAUUGCACCAGUAUUGUCACAAAAGAUUUUCAUUGGACCCGAUGCACUAGGUAUGACACCUAGAUCGGAUAUGAACUCCUUCAUCCAAGAUCCUUCAUUUGCUGCUUCCGAAGCAGCAAUGUACUCCGCUUCACACGUAGAUCCCGCCACGACGCUCUGCUUGGAACUGCAACAACUAACAGCUCCUCCAUUCAAUAAAAAUACGUAUCCGGUUUGCGACUUAGAGUCGUCCAGAUUGAAGGAAAUAUGCCCUAGAGGUGUCUCCGAAGGUACUUGUUGA